GUUUGAUAGGAAAAUCGUGAGAACACUGAUCCUUUAGAAUACCUGUUAUGCGAUGCAAUGCAAUGUAUGAAAUGUUUUCAAGGACUUUCGGGAUUUAACUUUGCAUAAACUAACAAAAAGAGCUUUUUUUUUUUUUUUCUUUUUUGUUUUUGCUUUUGUUUUUGUUUUUUCUGUUUUUUUUUUAGCAGAGUUAAAUCCCUAAAUCCUUGAAAUGGUUAGUACAAUGCCAUGAUGUUAUGAUGUUAUGUUGUUAUGAUGUCAUGUUGUUAGAUAAAUAACAAGCACAAGCAAGUCACACAACAAUCAUUCCUAGGUUUUAAGGCUUGCGUGAGUUCCAUAGGUAAAUACCCUCCCCACUGAAGUUUGG
This 367-nucleotide long non-coding RNA is filed under the name Lathyrus oleraceus (garden pea). RNAcentral describes it as "Pisum sativum (pea) long non-coding RNA (PSAT_LNC028524)". Lineage: Eukaryota; Viridiplantae; Streptophyta; Magnoliopsida; Fabales; Fabaceae. The record is from RNAcentral.